GCAGCUGUCACGGGGGCGAGUGGAGGAAACCAUGUUGGCCUCCGAAGCCAAGGGUCGUGGGUUCGAUCCCCGCCAGCCGCACCA
This 84-nucleotide transfer RNA is filed under the name Janthinobacterium sp. LM6. RNAcentral describes it as "tRNA-Arg". The stretch from base 16 to 81 matches the Rfam family "tRNA". Rfam says of the family: Transfer RNA (tRNA) molecules are approximately 80 nucleotides in length. Their secondary structure includes four short double-helical elements and three loops (D, anti-codon, and T loops). Lineage: Bacteria; Pseudomonadati; Pseudomonadota; Betaproteobacteria; Burkholderiales; Oxalobacteraceae. The record is from RNAcentral.